Molecule: non-coding RNA, 91 nt
Organism: Mycena crocata
Lineage: Eukaryota; Fungi; Basidiomycota; Agaricomycetes; Agaricales; Mycenaceae
Source: the annotation of a GenBank genome assembly
GGCUGGAUGGUGCAACGGUAGCACAUCCUCUUAACUUUAAGCCUCUCUUGAAUCUCAGAGGAAACCCCUUGUUCGAUUCAAGGCCUAGCCA